Molecule: ribosomal RNA, 363 nt
Filed under: Eukaryota sp.
Lineage: Eukaryota
Description: SSU rRNA
Rfam family: Eukaryotic small subunit ribosomal RNA
Source: RNAcentral
GCGUUAACGAACGAGACCUCGACCUGCUAAAUAGUUCGACGAAGGAUUCUUCCUUUGGUGCGUGACUUCUUAGAGGGACUAUCGGUGUGUAGCCGACGGAAGUUCGAGGCAAUAACAGGUCUGUGAUGCCCUUCGAUGUUCUGGGCCGCACGCGCGCUACACUGAUGCAUGCAUCGAGUCGAAUAAAUAACCUUGACUGACAGGUCUGGGGAAUCUUUGCAACAUGCAUCGUGCUGGGGAUAGAUGAUUGUAAUUAUUCAUCUUCAACGAGGAAUUCCUAGUAAACGCAAGUCAUCAACUUGCAUUGAUUACGUCCCUGCCCUUUGUACACACCGCCCGUCGCUAAUACCGAUUGAAUGGCUG